RNAcentral lists this ribosomal RNA (503 nucleotides) under uncultured bacterium. RNAcentral describes it as "partial 16S ribosomal RNA". It matches the Rfam family "Bacterial small subunit ribosomal RNA", at positions 29 to 507 of the family's 1533-position model. The record is from RNAcentral.
AACGAACGCUGGCGGCGUGCCUAACACAUGCAAGUCGAACGAGAAAGGGGCUUCGGCUCCGAGUAAAGUGGCGCACGGGUGAGUAACACGUGGGUAACCUGCCUCUAAGAUUGGGAUAACUCGUCGAAAGAUGAGCUAAUACCGAAUAAGACCACAGUUCCCGCGGGAACAGGGGUCAAAGGUAGCCUCUGCUUGCAAGCUAUCACUUAGAGAUGGGCCUGCGCACCAUUAGCUAGUUGGUAGGGUAACGGCCUACCAAGGCAAAGAUGGUUAGCUGGUCUGAGAGGAUGAUCAGCCACACUGGAAAUGAGACACGGGCCAGACUCCUACGGGGGGCAGCAGUGGGGAAUAUUGCGCAAUGGGCGAAAGCUUGACGCAGCAACGCCGCGUGAGGGAUGAAGGCCUUCGGGUCGUAAAGCUCUGUCGGGAGGAACGAAUGGUCCUGAGGUUAACAGCCUCGGGAGGUGACGGUACCUUCAAAGGAAGCACCGGCUAACUCUGUG